CCUACGGGAGGCAGCAGUGGGGAAUAUUGCGCAAUGGGGGAAACCCUGACGCGGCAACGCCGCGUGAGUGAGGAAGGACUUCGGUCUGUAAAGCUCUGUUAAUGAGGAAAAAUGGUAGUUGGUCUAAUAGGCCGAUUAUUUGAUGGUACUCAUAGAGGAAGCACCGGCUAACUUCGUGCCAGCAGCCGCGGUAAUACGAAGGGUGCAAGCGUUGUUCGGAUUUAUUGGGCGUAAAGCGCGCGUAGGCGGACCUGCAAGUAAGAUGUGAAAUCUCGAGGCUCAACCUCGAAACUGCGUCUUAAACUACAGGUCUAGAAUCUCGGAGGGGGAAGGGGAAUUUCGCAUGUAGGGGUAAAAUCCGUAGAUAUGCGAAGGAACACCAGAGGCGAAGGCGCCUUCCUGGACGAGUAUUGACGCUGAGGCGCGAAAGCGUGGGGAUCAAACAGGAUUAGAUACCCUGGUAGUCCACGCUGUAAACGACGAACACUAGGUAUUGGAGGAUUUGACCCCUUCAGUGCCGUAGCUAACGCGUUAAGUGUUCCGCCUGGGAAGUACGGUCGCAAGACUAAAACUUAAAUGAAAUUGACGG
Molecule: ribosomal RNA, 589 nt
Filed under: uncultured bacterium
Lineage: Bacteria
Description: bacterial SSU rRNA
Rfam family: Bacterial small subunit ribosomal RNA
Source: RNAcentral